GCCCUCAUAGCUCAGCAGGCAGAGCGCAUCCAUGGUAAGGAUGAGGUCACCAGUUCGACCCUGGUUGAGGGCUCCA
This 76-nucleotide transfer RNA is filed under the name Clostridiaceae bacterium. RNAcentral's name for it is "tRNA-Thr". Lineage: Bacteria; Bacillati; Bacillota; Clostridia; Eubacteriales; Clostridiaceae. The record is from RNAcentral. RNAcentral also lists the same sequence under 3 other names.